UACGAAGGGGGCUAGCGUUGCUCGGAAUCACUGGGCGUAAAGGGUGCGUAGGCGGGUCUUUAAGUCAGGGGUGAAAUCCUGGAGCUCAACUCCAGAACUGCCUUUGAUACUGAAGAUCUUGAGUUCGGGAGAGGUGAGUGGAACUGCGAGUGUAGAGGUGAAAAUUCGUAGAUAUUCGCAAGAACACCAGUGGCGAAGGCGGCUCACUGGCCCCGAUACUGACGCUGAGGCACGAAAAGC
Molecule: ribosomal RNA, 240 nt
Filed under: uncultured bacterium
Lineage: Bacteria
Description: partial 16S ribosomal RNA
Rfam family: Bacterial small subunit ribosomal RNA
Source: RNAcentral